AUGCCUCGCUGCCGGGACGGCGUGCUGCAGCGGCCAGUGUGUGGACAACACUGCGGCGGCUGCAACAAAGCGUGCAAGCACGGCCGGACAUGCUGCGGUGGACGCUGUGUGGAUCUUCUCUCCGACAAGAACUGUGGCACCUGCUCUAACCAGUGCAACAAGAAGUGCAGCUACGGCUUCUGCGACUACGCGUAG
This 195-nucleotide ribosomal RNA is filed under the name Triticum aestivum (bread wheat). Its description in RNAcentral is "partial small subunit ribosomal RNA". The record is from RNAcentral. Lineage: Eukaryota; Viridiplantae; Streptophyta; Magnoliopsida; Poales; Poaceae.